AGUGGCGGACGGGUGAGUAACACGUAAGAAUUUGCCUUUAGGAGGGGGACAACAACUGGAAACGGUUGCUAAUACCCCAUAUGCUUUCGAGUGAAACGGAUUUUUCCGCCUAAAGAGAAGCUUGCGGCUGAUUAGCUUGUUGGUGAGGUAAUGGCUCACCAAGGCGACGAUCAGUAUCUGGUUUGAGAGGACGAUCAGACACACUGGAACUGAGACACGGUCCAGACUCCCACGGGAGGCAGCAGUGGGGAAUUUUCCGCAAUGGGCGAAAGCCUAACGGAGCAAUACCGCGUGAGGGAUGACGGCCUAUGGGUUGUAAACCUCUUUUUUCAGGGAGGAAUCAAAUGACGUGUACCUGAAGAAUAAGCAUCGGCUUACUCCGUGCCAGCAGCCGCGGUAAGACGGGGGAUGCAAGUGUUAUCCGGAAUCACUGGGCGUAAAGCGUCUGUAGGUGGUCAAAUAAGUCAACUGUUAAAUCUUGAGGCUCAACCUCAAAAUCGCAGUCGAAACUAUUAGACUAGAGCAUAGUAGGGGUAAAGGGAAUUUCCAGUGGAGCGGUGAAAUGCGUAGAGAUUGGAAAGAACACCGAUGGCGAAGGCACUUUACUGGGCUAUUACUAACACUCAGAGACGAAAGCUAGGGUAGCAAAUGGGAUUAGAUACCCCAGUAGUCCUAGCCGUAAACAAUGGAUACUAGAUGU
This 700-nucleotide ribosomal RNA is filed under the name uncultured bacterium. Its description in RNAcentral is "bacterial SSU rRNA". It matches the Rfam family "Bacterial small subunit ribosomal RNA", at positions 94 to 823 of the family's 1533-position model. The record is from RNAcentral.